AAAUUUACACACAUGCAUAUACAUUCACACACACACGCAAUCACACAUACACAAAUACACACAUGCACUCCCUUACACAGGCUUGCAAACUCAUGCUCACUCUUUUUCUCACACACACACACACACACACACACACACACGCACACACAUCUCCCCAGUAUAGCUAGUAUUGUUCCUAGGUACAGCAGCCUGCCUGUGUCAUCCUUCUGGUUCUGCUGCACCCGGCACCACCUCCGCAGGCGCCCCGCUGGGCUGUCUUCAUGGCUGAGACAAAGUUUGCCAACCACAGCCAUGCCGCCCUGAACAGGAGAACUGUCCAGCAUGCCCAGAGUUAGGAUGUGACAACCCUCUUCUCAGCACUAGAAAUGGGGACACAAGGUGUCACAGCAGGACAGAACAUUUGCUGUCAGGAUGCUUCACCGUAUAACAUUAAGACUUAACAUUUUUUGACUACGUAAGUGUCUACAUGACAGAUGCUCCUACAGCUUAUUUUAUUUAAUUUUCACAACCACAUGAGGUCUUGAUCCAAGUGAAUUUAUCUUCAACCUGACAAAUGUCAUCCUGAUAAACUCAGGGCAGCAUCCCAGCUUUUAGAGACCAUAGUGGAUUUGGUCACUGCCAACUGCUGAUUUAGAUACCCCACCCAGCUUCACACUCCAAUGCUAACAUCCAGAUCUGAGUAAGAAGAAUGAGGAGGAGGAGGAGAGAGCAAAGGAGAAGACGAAUACGUAAUGAUGAGAAAGCGAGGGAAGAUGAAAAAAGGAAGGGGAGACAUAAUAAUAGCAACGAGGAAGAAAAGGAGGAGAGAAAAUGAGGAACUAUCUGGGGACCUUUCAUCCCACCCAGGACCCGCGAGGGUCACUGCUGUUGCUGCAUCAGCACCAUAUGGAGUAAGGUCAGAGAGGCCAGGGCACAGGAUGUCCUCCAGAACCCCAACAGAACAAGGGCCAGAUCAAAGUCCCUCAAGGUGGAAAAUGACAUGAGUCUGGCUUCCCCUCAUGUCCGUCUCUCCCUUGCCUACAGACUCACAGCCUUCCGCUUACUCUAGGAUCAUUCCCAGGGUCAACAUCAGAUUUGAGUCUCACCCACCUCCAGGCUUCAUCCCCAAUGCCUCUCCCACAGCACCUCAGAUCUCAUUCCAGGUCACACCAUGCCCUGGCCAGGGCGUUCUCUGGGUCAGGGCCCUGAGCACACACAGCAGCCCAGCGCUGCCUGGCUCCUGCUUUCUUCCAGGGACCCGCCUGCGCCCUUUGCACCUGCAGAUCCUCCUCUGUCCAGACCACUGUGGGCACAGUGCAGCUGCACCUUCCUCCCCUUCAAAGACACCAGCUGCCCUAGACGGCGAUGGAUCUAUGAAGCCCUUGUUCUCCUUGCUCUGAACAUGAUAUGAAAAGAUGCUUUGUGGUCGUCAGCUCUCCUCAUUAGGCUCAGCUCAUGCCUGCGCUCUUGCCCCCUGACACUCUUUACUGACCCUCGUCACUCUGUCAUUGUGAGUGUCCUGGGAAGGGCUCCUCUUGGCUCUCGUCCCUCUGACCUCAGCAGGACCUCCCUCUGAACCACACAGACAUCUCUCAUUACCACCCCACAUCCUUCCUACUUGGAAGAACCAGAUUAAUUCCAGGUCUCCCCCACUGCUUUGAGAGUCCCCAGAUCACAGGAAAUCAAGUGAUGAUCUUUGAAACUUUCUGAAACUGAGCUCCCCAAGUCUACAGGGGAUCUAACCAUGCCUCGCCUUCUCCACCAACACAGAGCACACCUCCCCAAGGCUCCCAACCCACAUGGGCCACAAAUCGGGGUCCGCUAUUACCCAACUCAGCAGGUGUUGCAGCCUGGGAGAUGAAGUCUCACCAGCCCCACCAUGUUAAAAGCUCGUGGUUCUUGGUUUAUCACCCAUCCCCUGGGCCCUGACUGCGUACUGAUCAUUCACUCAUCUGGGAACCACUGGCCACAUUCUCCCACAUUAUACCUUAACCAGGUUGUUCCAGGUAACCGAGACUCCAAUCCAGCUCUGCUGUAUCCAACCUGUGACCUUGGGCAAAGUGUGGAUCAUCGCCAUGCCUCUGCUGUCUCACCUGUAAAGAGGGUCACCUUGGCUCUCUCUUCACUGGAUUGUUGGAAAGAUUAGAUUGAUUAGUAUAGUCAAAGUGCUAAGGAGCCUGGCUCAGUAAAUGUUAGGGGGAUCAGUUCUUAUCACACUGAGUGCAAAGGGAUAGAGUCCACUCCAUGGAGGCUUUCCCAUCACUCCUGAGCUCUCAGGGACCAGUGACCAACAAUGUUUAAUGAAUGACCAAAUGGCCUGGGCAUUUUUCUUCUUCCCGCUCCAACUACAGAAGAAAGAACUCUUGGCAAACAGCUGGAUAACCUCUUUUUCCUGAGAUGUCUGAAGGCACCCGCCCCAAGCCAACUGGCCAGCCUCCAGCUGUUCUGAGCUGCAGGUCAGGCACCAGAUCUUAUUCAAAGACGCCAUAUACCCCCAACCCCCCACCGAGUGCUUUGCUGCAUCUACCUUUCUCUUCAGCUAAAACAAGAGCAGAGAAUACCUCCUGUCUUCCAAUCCUUUGGUGUCCCCAGUCUCUGGAGAAGCUUCCCAGACUCUUUUGGAAGAUUCCAGAGGACAAUCAUCUAUGGGUCUCUUCUGCCUAUGGAUUAUAAGGUCCUGGGGUUUCCUAAGAAAGGGAAUACACCUGUUAUCCUCCUGGCUCUGGCAUAUUGAAGAAACUAAACACUGAAGGUGAUCCAGGCUUUUCCAGAGGCUGGCUGGUGGUGCUGGGGAGAUGAGCACUUCCUGGCCAGCCCCUGUAGGCUCUGUGGCCAGCUAUGCCUGGACCCUUCUAGCAGCAAUGCCUGCUGUAUUCCAGCAAAGCCAAGUGCAGGAGUCCCAGGAUAAGGCAGCCCCCAGUCCUGCAGUGAGGGCGGCCCUAGUACAACACAGCUUGGCCACAUGGACCCUCAUAGGGGUGGAUGCGAUCCCAUCACCCACUCAGAUGCCCAAGACUGUGCAGAAGCAGGGCCAGUGAGAGCAGAAGGCAGAUCCGGUGCUUCAAGGGGCCCUGCUGUGCGGAUUGAGAGUCUGCCAUGUACAUGGCUGAAGAUGGCCAGGGCACAGAACAGGGAGCAACAGCAAGUACUCAUUGCCUAUGGCCCAACAACGCCAACAGGCAAUGAGUUGUGCAGUGUGGAGUGAUAUAUCAGACAUAAUAUGUGCUGAGGCUGAAGCAACAUGGAAGUCACAUAAUGGGACUGAGUUAGCCCUCCGUGCUCUGCCUCCAGGGCAUAACUUGUGUUCUAAGUCAGCCCUGCAACUCGCUACCUGCCUGACCUCAGGCAACCACUCUAGGCCUCCAUCUCCUGAUAAGUAAAACAGGAACGGUGAUCUUCACUUCAGGGGCUCACUGACAGGACUCAGCAGGGCUCUGCGCAUGCCAGGCAGCAAGAGCACAGGAACAGCAGCUCUCUUCCUAAUACAACUAGAGAAUAAAGGUGGAGCCCAAGAUGGUGGUCCCAAUUCCACUGGCAGCCUUCAAGGAAAAAGUCCGUGAUUUUACUUCAGCUACACCUUCCGACCUUCCCAGGUUCCUAUGAUAGCAUCACCCUAGGAUAAAAGUACUGAAGCCCAAGACUUAACCUUGUAGUUUAAAAAAAAAAAAAAAAAAAAGAUGUGAUUAAAUCUUUACCAAAUGUGCCACCCACUGAAUUUCUGAAAAGAAAUCUGCUAAGCCAAGCAGAUACGAUGAUUAAAAUUAUUUGAAAAGUAUACCCCUUUCCCUAAAAUUUUGAUAUGUUGGAGGUCAGCGAUUAGAUGAUUUAAAAGGGAAUUUAACUCUUUAUUCCAGAAAAAGUCUCAUAAAUCAAAGUUCCAUGCACAGACCUAUGAUUUUGUCCAACACUCUUUGAUCUAAAGUGAGCAAAUUCUUUCAUUAAACACACUUUAAUCUACUUUCAUAAUAUUUAAUCUCUGUUCAUUUCUGUGUGAUUUCUCUAUGACCAUAUUUCCUUUUCUGCAUCAACUGAAAAGUUAAAUUAGCUCAACGAUCACAAUAAACUCCAUCAUCAGGUUAAAUUAUUUCUAAGAAUCCCAACUUCAAGCUUUAGCUGGUUAUUAACAAGAUAUAUACACACACACACACACACAUAUACACACACACAAAUAUAUGUAUGGUAUGUGUUUGAAUAUACAGACACAUAUAAAAACUCAUUAAAAAUGAAACCACAUCUCUCUGACAAGAUUACAUUUUUUAACAAGCAGCAGCAAAAAAUGCCUUGAUGUAUAAUUCUUCUCUUUUAUCCCUCAUAAAUGAAUCUGACUUGGUUUUCUAGAUUUUUUUCAUUUAGUAUGCAUCUAAGACAAGUUUUCAUAUUAAUGUAAAAUAUUUUUAUCUUGGUCCUCCUGAUGUACACAAAAAAUUAAUUUCAAAUGCCAAAAUUAUUGUUAUAAAAUGUCUAAUGUCUCUCUCAGGAGUAAUUAGGUAACUUCAUUUCUGUACAUCAGUGACAUUGGCAACUACAUAUUUUAGAAAUUUACUGUUAUUUUCUUAUUUCCAGGCUCCCUCAAAUGUUUCAGGUUGAAAGCCCUGGACUCCCACUGUCUUGCCACAACCCAGCUCUGUAUCCUGUCCCGUCCCUCCCCUGCACCUGGCAUUGCACAGAAGGUGUGAGUCUCCUUUAAAUGCUUCUGCAAGGCUUAGCUUACUCCUGCGAUGUCUGUGCCUAUUAGUGAAAGGCAAAAGGUCAAGGGAAGAAUGCAAUCAAGCUGUGACUCUAAAACCAGAUGUUUUCUUUCGGGUAACUCUGAAAAGUCAGAGAUUUAUAAUUUGAUCAUCUGUGUAUUUUCCCCCUGAACAAGUUACAUGUCCAGAUCUUUGGAUAUAAUCUAUUGGAGAAAGGAUCUGGGUCUGAUGCAUGGUUCUUACCCUAGCAGCAAGCCCAAGAAGAUAAUGGAGCAGCAUGUCAUGAACGGAGGGAUGGGUGGAUGAAGAGAAACGCAGCCCAACAUGUCUCCCUAGAAGAAAAAAUAAAUCAAAAGGAGAAUUCUUGCUUGCAAAAAAUGAGCGUUGGAUAGGGAGAAUGAAAGAGAGAGUGAGGGGGAGAGAGAGGGAAGAGACAAGACAAGGAAAUAGCCAAUAAAGCAGACACAAGAAAAAGGGAGAGAUGAGAGGAGAAAGAAACGGGAUGGGACAAGGAGACAAGAGGUAGAAAGGCAGGGGACAGGAACAGGAAUAGGACUCAGAGAGGACCUGGGAGAAUGCGGGAGGAAGCUGGCGACAGAGGGAAGGGAAGGACCCCACAGUCAAGGUCAGGACUCAAGGGCGCUACCCUGGGGAAAGGCAGGGGAAAUGAGAUGGACCCCGCUGACCGCUCCCGCUUGCUCCAGGUCUUGGCCCACCUGAGGGCGCUUCUCUCCCAGGCUGUCAGGCGGCGCGCAGGGAGGGAGAUGCCUACGCGGCCGCCACCGCCAAGGGCCCAGCUCGCGGCUCUGAACUUGGCGCCAGAGCCCUGAGGGCACCAGGCCCCGCCUUCCUGGCUGCACACGCCUUCCGGGCAGGGCUUGUGGGGGUGAGUGGGUGCGCGGAGAUACCAUGAGGAAGCGCCAAGUUUCUCUCCGAGGCUUUGGAGGGUCUGUUGCAAAGAUGAGAUCCUCAAGAACAAAGGAGCAAGAAGGUAUAUUUCAGAAAGAAGGAAACAACUUGGAAGAGUGGAGUUCAAGAAACGAUGGUGAGCAAAGAAGCUGGGAACACGCUGAUUAAGCACUUGAUUCCGUCUCAGACCAAAUAUGCGGAUGUCCUUCGUCACCUACUCCAUGGACUGUGACACCGUCUUGCUGCUCACCUCAGACAAGGGCACAGAAAGUCAAGGAGGCCAGGCAAUCUAAGCAAUUCGGCAGAUGGAAAAUUUCAACUCCACAUACAACAAGGUUUCCAGCAUGAUUAUUGCUAUGACCGAUGGAACAAUGAUGAAACAUCCAUUUUUGGACACUCUCAAAGAAAUCCUACCAUGUGGUUAUUCAUGGAAAUGGCUUUCAGACUCUAAAGAAACAAGACGAAGUUAUUUGCAUAUUUAUCUUCAAACGAAAGCACUAUCAUUGGGAGUACUUUAUUGAAGUCAGCUUGAACAACGGCAAAACAUUCUUCAAGAGCAAUGUCAGCGUCACCAGCAACACAUGUAGUCACGGAACAAAUACCACGGAGCAGCACCUAGCACAGAAGAAGGCCCCUGCCCUGGGCAUCUGUGGGAAACCAGGGCCCCAGGUCUGCAGUGACUGGUACAGAAACUCUGAGCUGAGGAGCUAACACUAUACCCAUCUGCACCUGAGGGAACCCGCCAGGCUCCAGCAAAACCAAACAGGAAACUCUCCCCGGGAGACACCGUCCUCAUCCAGGGGAACCAGGAUUCUCGUGGAAAAUCAUUUCCUACUGAAGAGGCGCUCAGAGGAAAAACUCCCAGGUAUCUCCCCAAAGAGAGGCAGCAGAUACAAGAAACAAGGAGAUUCAAAGCCCAGAGAGUAAAGAGAAUAGAGUGAUCUAAAAUGAAUAUUAAAAUAAGGGUGUAUAAAGUGUUCAAAAAAGAUAAAAGGAAUAAAACUAUAUGACCAGAACAGCUAAUUAAGACAAAUGCAGAAUUUUAAAAGGGCCAAAGUUCUAAAAUUCAUUAAUAAGAAAUGAAACACAAACACAGAGUUUAAGACAAAAAGUGGAAUAACUCCAAAGUUAACCUGAGCAACACCCGUGCUGCGGCACUGCUGACCAAGGUGGAAACCAGAAACGGGACGCUGUGCGCAACGAGCAGAUAAGGAGUGUCUAGCAGGACUGCUCACUCCACCAUCCUCAGCUCACUACUUUGGGGGAGGCAACCACUGAACUCCCUCUGAUUUUUCUCAUUCCUACUGGAUGCUGAUGCUUAGGGAAUGCAGACCCCAGCCCACCAACUUCUAAGCAAAGCCAGCAAUGAGGGGAGCUCCCUGCUUGCUGGAAGGGGAGUCCCUCCCCCCUGCCCAGACUAGGGACUUCCAAGAUGCACUGGCCAGGUCUUGUGCCCUUGAUCCUUAGCACAGCCCUGAGGGUGGUGAUUCCCCACUUAGGCAUCUGGUUGGACAAUGGAUGGGCUUCGCUGAAGGCUGGCAGCCUUGUUGAACGCGUUCUUCCAGAGAGCGGGAGUAAGGGUCCAAACGGUCCUCUCAGUCACCCCCUGCUACGUGCACCUGCCCGCUCUCCUAGGGUUCUGCUGGGGACCCCAGUGGGGGCAAAGCUCAAGCCCGGGAUGGAUGGGGGAAGGUCUCUGGGCACAGGUGGAGAAUGUGAAAUAACAUGAAUCCAGAACUUGCCAUGUGCCAAGCAGGAUGCUGAGCACAUCUAAACCCUGAAGGACCUAACCAUACUUAUAUGCUGGGAGGGGAGGCACAGAGCAUUCCAGUUGUGCACAUGGUCAGGACUGGACGGGCCGCUGGGUCCUGGCUGAGCCCUGCAGUCCUUCCAUUCUCCAGUGCUCCUGGCUUCCAGCACUGGGCGGCAGGUGCUGGCAGGCUGCCCCACACAUCGACCUGGCCCAGGCUGCCCUUGCACUAGAUGUUUCUGCUUACGGGACUCUAGGGGCCUCUCCCCAAACUACUCAGGACCCCAGCAGCUCACUGGACCCUCUAGCUAGGUGGUGGCCCCAGAGGGCUUUUGUGGUCUGACCUCAGUAAACACAGGUGAUGGGAAGAUGGUGUGGGGAAGUUGUGGGUUUGGCCUGAAUUGUACUCCCUCUGCUCUGCCUUGUUGCUUGGUUUCUAAGGUGGAUGAGGGAUGAGGAAGAGGAGAGAGGAAUGGGGUGAGGAGGCAAAGUAUUUUCCAAUAGAGAGAGACCAGCUGUGAGA
This is a non-coding RNA of Macaca mulatta (Rhesus monkey), 7849 nucleotides long. NCBI's taxonomy places the organism in Eukaryota, Metazoa, Chordata, Mammalia, Primates, Cercopithecidae. The record is from RefSeq and is a predicted model, not a curated record.